GACAGAGGGUGCAAACGUUGUUCGGAAUUACUGGGCGUAAAGCGCGUGUAGGCGGCCCUGCAAGUCGGAUGUGAAAUCCCACGGCUCAACCGUGGAAGUGCAUUCGAAACUGCAGGGCUAGAGUCCUGGAGAGGAAGGUGGAAUGCUUGGUGUAGAGGUGAAAUUCGUAGAUAUCAAGCGGAACACCGGUGGCGAAAGCGACUGCCUGGACCAAUACUGACGCUCAUGUGCGAAAGCGUGGGGAGCAAACAGG
This 253-nucleotide ribosomal RNA is filed under the name uncultured bacterium. RNAcentral's name for it is "partial 16S ribosomal RNA". It matches the Rfam family "Bacterial small subunit ribosomal RNA", at positions 524 to 776 of the family's 1533-position model. The record is from RNAcentral.